This 508-nucleotide ribosomal RNA is filed under the name uncultured bacterium. RNAcentral's name for it is "bacterial SSU rRNA". It matches the Rfam family "Bacterial small subunit ribosomal RNA", at positions 975 to 1482 of the family's 1533-position model. The record is from RNAcentral.
CCAGGCUUGAACUGCGAGUGACAAACUCCGAAAGGAGUCUUCCGCAAGGACACUCGUAGAGGUGCUGCAUGGCUGUCGUCAGCUCGUGUCGUGAGAUGUUGGGUUAAGUCCCGCAACGAGCGCAACCCUUGUUUGCUGUUGCCAUCAGGUAAUGCUGGGCACUCUGCAAAGACUGCCGGUGAUAAACCGGAGGAAGGUGGGGAUGACGUCAAGUCAGCAUGGCCUUUAUGUCUGGGGCUACACACGUGCUACAAUGGCCGAUACAAACCGUCGCGAGCCCGUAAGGGGGAGCUAAUCGGAGAAAGUCGGUCUCAGUUCGGAUUGUAGGCUGCAACUCGCCUGCAUGAAGUUGGAAUCGCUAGUAAUCGCGGAUCAGCACGCCGCGGUGAAUACGUUCCCGGGCCUUGUACACACCGCCCGUCACAUCACGAAAGCCGGUUGUACUAGAAGUCGCCAUACCAACCCGCAAGGGAGGGAGGCGCCUAAGGUAUGGUCGGUGAUUGGGGUG